Molecule: ribosomal RNA, 427 nt
Filed under: uncultured bacterium
Lineage: Bacteria
Description: partial 16S ribosomal RNA
Rfam family: Bacterial small subunit ribosomal RNA
Source: RNAcentral
UGGGGAAUAUUGGACAAUGGGCGAAAGCCUGAUCCAGCCAUGCCGCGUGUGUGAAGAAGGUCUUCGGAUUGUAAAGCACUUUAAGUUGGGAGGAAGGGCAUUAACCUAAUACGUUAGUGUUUUGACGUUACCGACAGAAUAAGAACCGGCUAACUCUGUGCCAGCAGCCGCGGUAAUACAGAGGGUGCAAGCGUUAAUCGGAAUUACUGGGCGUAAAGCGCGCGUAGGUGGUUUGUUAAGUUGGAUGUGAAAUCCCCGGGCUCAACCUGGGAACUGCAUUCAAAACUGACUGACUAGAGUAUGGUAGAGGGUGGUGGAAUUUCCUGUGUAGCGGUGAAAUGCGUAGAUAUAGGAAGGAACACCAGUGGCGAAGGCGUCCACCUGGACUAAUACUGACACUGAGGUGCGAAAGCGUGGGGAGCAAACA